RNAcentral lists this ribosomal RNA (669 nucleotides) under uncultured Bacillota bacterium. Its description in RNAcentral is "bacterial SSU rRNA". It matches the Rfam family "Bacterial small subunit ribosomal RNA", at positions 59 to 705 of the family's 1533-position model. The record is from RNAcentral. Lineage: Bacteria; Bacillati; Bacillota.
AAGUUCGAACGCGAAAGUCCCCUUCGGGGGACAAGUAGAGUGGCGCACGGGUGAGUAACACGUAGGUAAUCUACCUUCGGAUGGGGAAUAACAACCGGAAACGGUUGCUAAUACCGCAUAAUGCAGCGGCACCUAAUGGUGACAGUUGUUAAAGCGGGGGAUCGCAAGACCUCGCGUCUGAAGAGGAGCCUGCGGCGGAUUAGCUAGUUGGUAAGGUAAUGGCUUACCAAGGCGACGAUCCGUAACCGGCCUGAGAGGGCGGUCGGUCACACUGACACUGACAUACGGGUCAGACUCCUACGGGAGGCAGCAGUCGGGAAUUUUGGGCAAUGGGCGCAAGCCUGACCCAGCAACGCCGCGUGAAGGAUGAAAUCCCUCGGGAUGUAAACUUCGCAAGAACGGGAAGAAUAAGUAGGGGACAAUACCCCCUAUGAUGACGGUACCGUUUGUAAGCUCCGGCUAACUCCGUGCCAGCAGCCGCGGUAAUACGGGGGGAGCAAGCGUUGUUCGGAUUUACUGGGCGUAAAGGGCGCGUAGGCGGCCAGCGCAAGUCAGUUGUGAAAUCUCCGAGCUUAACUCGGAAAGGUCAACUGAUACUGCGCGGCUAGAGUGCAGAAGGGGCAACUGGAAUUCUUGGUGUAGCGGUGAAAUGCGUAGAUAUCAAGAGGA